Molecule: long non-coding RNA, 687 nt
Organism: Teleopsis dalmanni
Lineage: Eukaryota; Metazoa; Arthropoda; Insecta; Diptera; Diopsidae
Exons: 3
Source: RefSeq, a predicted model, not a curated record
UAAAGUUUGUUCUUAAAAGUCAGUUCAAUUGAAGGUUUGAUUUAAAAGUUUUUAAAAAUAAAAAAAAUUUAAUAAGGCGCCCUAGAUUUCUUUUCAAGGAUUAAGGACCUAAUAUACGGCAGUAGAGUUACUACUACUUAUUCAAUAAGUGGAAUGGAUUUCUUAAAAUUCAUAAAGUACUAUCGCUUUCUUGUUAUCAUUACGUUUCCUGUCUUCUUCUGGUGUUAUUUGUAUAUGAUGUAUUAUGAGAUAAUAGCUAUUGCUGUAGUCCGUAUGGAUGCAUAUGCCUAUAUUGAACUUAUUAAAUACUUCCUGGCCAUAUCAGUUGCAUUAGUUGCCUACAGUAUAUGGAGUAAAUUACUUAAGAAAGUUAUGGAGGAGGAGAAUAUCCCUACUCUUAAAAUAGGCUAGCAGCAGCAACCAAUUAUUUAAGACAUUUUUUGGCUUAACUCUGCAAAGCUUUAAAUAUCUUUGCAGUUAAAAUUCUGAAAUAGCAAAAAAAAAAACAGGCCAAAAAAUGCAAAUAACUUAUAAAAUCUCGGAUACUUUUAAUGCUAUAACUCUUUUACUCUUAACUCUUACUACUCUUAUAACUCGCUGUAAUUGUUGAAGUUAGAAGAAGAAGAAGACGGAUACAAUGUAAAUAUUUUAAAGGAAUUUUAUUUUUGGAAUUCUGGAGAGAUUUUU